This 246-nucleotide ribosomal RNA is filed under the name Escherichia coli. RNAcentral describes it as "partial 23S ribosomal RNA". It matches the Rfam family "Bacterial large subunit ribosomal RNA", at positions 1134 to 1378 of the family's 2925-position model. Lineage: Bacteria; Pseudomonadati; Pseudomonadota; Gammaproteobacteria; Enterobacterales; Enterobacteriaceae. The record is from RNAcentral.
GAAAACGGUGAAAAGUCCAGUCGGCCGGCGGGCAAGAGGUCCCGGUCCAAGGUAAUCCACCGAAGCUGCUGCAGCGACGCUUAUGCGUUGUUGGGUAGGGGAGCGUUCUGUAAGCCUGUGAAGGUGUGCUGUGAGGCAUGCUGGAGGUAUCAGAAGUGCGAAUGCUGACAUAAGUAACGAUAAAGCGGGUGAAAAGCCCGCUCGCCGGAAGACCAAGGGUUCCUGUCCAACGUUAAUCGGGGCAGG